GUCUACAGCCAUGCCACCCUGAACAAGCCGAUCCUGUCUGAUCUUGGAAGCUAAGCAGGGUCGGGCCUGGUUAGUACUUGGAUGGGAGACCACCUAGGAAUACCAGGUACUAUAGGUG
Molecule: non-coding RNA, 118 nt
Organism: Pteropus alecto (black flying fox)
Lineage: Eukaryota; Metazoa; Chordata; Mammalia; Chiroptera; Pteropodidae
Source: Rfam